GUUAAAAGUAUUUUUCCGCAAAUGUAUGCUUGUAAUACGUCAUUCUAUAUGUUUUCAUUCAAAUAUUACUGAAAUUUCAUUGAAAUAUUAGAAACAUUUAUGCGUUAAAUCUUCGACCAUAUAAACUGAUAGACACGCCUUACCGCAAGUUAAUAUUCACACAACUUUGAAGCCAACAUCUUUUAGCGCGUGACGUUACGUUUGGGCAUUAAACAAUUUAUAAUAUCGGUUUAGGGUGAAUGUAUUUAACAUUUUUAAAGUUUUAUUAUUUGUUAUGUAUGUUAUUUUGUUUAAAUUUUGAUUUUCAAAUAGAAUAUAGAUAUAUAAAGAUCAUGAUGUUAUCUUGUUUUGCAUAUAAUUGCACUCAAAGAUAUAUUAAAAAGGUUUCUUUUCAUGUUUUUCUGAAAGAUAUGGAAUUGAGGAGAAAAUGGAUACAAGUUAUGUGGAGUGAUGGUUUUACUCCUAGUAAACUGUCUAAACGUUGUGGUAAAUAUUUCACUGGUAUAGAGGAAGUCUUUCGAGUUCACAAAAGAAACUAAAAAAAAAAAUGCAAUUUCUUCUAUAUAUAAUUUCCCAACACUUUUAUGAAAAAGUAUUUAUUCUAGAAAACUACCAAAAAAUAUA
Hydra vulgaris (swiftwater hydra) is the source of this 624-nucleotide non-coding RNA. NCBI's taxonomy places the organism in Eukaryota, Metazoa, Cnidaria, Hydrozoa, Anthoathecata, Hydridae. The record is from RefSeq and is a predicted model, not a curated record.